This 578-nucleotide long non-coding RNA is filed under the name Rattus norvegicus (Norway rat). Its description in RNAcentral is "long non-coding RNA NONRATT032956". Lineage: Eukaryota; Metazoa; Chordata; Mammalia; Rodentia; Muridae. The record is from RNAcentral.
AUCAACGCUGCCUCCUUCCUCAGCUGCCUGCAACAGUCCCAGCUCUCUGUUCGACUGCGAGUAACAACGCACUGAACUUCCGCGAUACUGGGGCUUCUCCAUGAGACAUCCAGGCCCACCAGAUCCUGGCUUUUUACUGAUAGUCUUUGCUUUAUCCCUGCCCCUCCAACACAGUCAGGUUAGUCCUUGGAGCCCUGAAAGGACGCGGUGAAGUGGUACCUGCAAAGGACCCAAAUGUAGACACUGAUCACAGGAGCUUGCAUUAAUCAGACAAAAGAACGAUCCAAGAUAAGUGCUCUAACCAAAGGUGAAGGGGUCAAUAUAAAGCAAAGGGAAGAAAUGAAACUGGAGAAAGAACCAAGGAAUGCAAAGCACAUCGCAGUGCCCUGCAGGUCGUACAAUUUCUUAGAAGACUGCCCUGGCUACUUAGAGGUAGAAGACAAGUGCAUCCAUCGGAUGUUUUAGCAUUCCACGGUUUCUAAAUCCAUCACAAUGCCACCCGCGAGGUCAAUGUCAAAAACAUGAAUUGAAAGUUCUGCAUUAAGUUCCAAGAAGAAACAGCUCAUUGUUUGAACAGG